CUCUCUGAUUCGGAGAUCGUGUCCAAGAUUCUUGCCGGGCUGGACAUGGAAUAUAAUCCUGUUGUCUCGGCUCUUGCUGCUCGAGUUGAACCCAUCACCAUCUAGGAGCUCUAUAGCCAACUCCUGAGCUUUGAC
Triticum aestivum (bread wheat) is the source of this 135-nucleotide non-coding RNA. NCBI's taxonomy places the organism in Eukaryota, Viridiplantae, Streptophyta, Magnoliopsida, Poales, Poaceae. The record is from Rfam.